RNAcentral lists this ribosomal RNA (500 nucleotides) under uncultured bacterium. RNAcentral describes it as "partial 16S ribosomal RNA". It matches the Rfam family "Bacterial small subunit ribosomal RNA", at positions 29 to 523 of the family's 1533-position model. The record is from RNAcentral.
AUUGAACGCUGGCGGCAUGCUUUACACAUGCAAGUCGAACGGCAGCACGGGCUUCGGCCUGGUGGCGAGUGGCGAACGGGUGAGUAAUGCAUCGGAACGUACCGUGUAGUGGGGGAUAACGUAGCGAAAGUUACGCUAAUACCGCAUACGCCCCGAGGGGGAAAGUGGGGGACCGCAAGGCCUCACGCUAUAUGAGCGGCCGAUGUUGGAUUAGCUAGUUGGUAGGGUAAAGGCCUACCAAGGCGACGAUACGUAGAGGGUCUGAGAGGAUGAUCCGCCACACUGGGACUGAGACACGGCCCAGCCUCCUACGGGAGGCAGCAGUGGGGAAUUUUGGACAAUGGGCGCAAGCCUGAUCCAGCCAUGCCGCGUGAGUGAAGAAGGCCUUCGGGUUGUAAAGCUCUUUCAGACGGAAAGAAAUCUCUCAGGAUAAUACCUUGGGAGGAUGACGGUACCGUAAGAAGAAGCACCGGCUAACUACGUGCCAGCCGCCGCAGUAA